AGGGGAAUAGCUCAAUUGGCAGAGCGUCGGUCUCCAAAACCGAAGGUCGGGGGUUCGAGGCCCUCUUCCCCUGCCA
This 76-nucleotide transfer RNA is filed under the name Oxalobacter formigenes. Its description in RNAcentral is "tRNA-Trp". It matches the Rfam family "tRNA". Rfam says of the family: Transfer RNA (tRNA) molecules are approximately 80 nucleotides in length. Their secondary structure includes four short double-helical elements and three loops (D, anti-codon, and T loops). RNAcentral also lists the same sequence under 5 other names. The record is from RNAcentral. Lineage: Bacteria; Pseudomonadati; Pseudomonadota; Betaproteobacteria; Burkholderiales; Oxalobacteraceae.